CACGCCCUAAACGAUGUCAACUGGUUGUUGGGAAUUCACUUUCUCAGUAACGAAGCUAACGCGUGAAGUUGACCGCCUGGGGAGUACGGCCGCAAGGUUAAAACUCAAAGGAAUUGACGGGGACCCGCACAAGCGGUGGAUGAUGUGGUUUAAUUCGAUGCAACGCGAAAAACCUUACCCACCUUUGACAUGUAUGGAAGAGCGCAGAGACGUGAUUGUGCUCGAAAGAGAGCCAUAACACAGGUGC
RNAcentral lists this ribosomal RNA (247 nucleotides) under uncultured bacterium. RNAcentral's name for it is "partial 16S ribosomal RNA". It matches the Rfam family "Bacterial small subunit ribosomal RNA", at positions 796 to 1041 of the family's 1533-position model. The record is from RNAcentral.